This 1096-nucleotide long non-coding RNA is filed under the name Triticum aestivum (bread wheat). Its description in RNAcentral is "long non-coding RNA (TAES_LNC012657)". The record is from RNAcentral. Lineage: Eukaryota; Viridiplantae; Streptophyta; Magnoliopsida; Poales; Poaceae.
CAGCAUUUGUUCAAAACUAACACUCAUAUGUAACUAAGAAACGAUGUACAAAGGCUUUUCUCAACGUACAAGUGGUUUUGUAAGCAAUUUGUUACAGUCAAAUGGCCAGAAAGGACUGCACGUGUGUUACUGCUGCGACAACACAUCGACUUUGUGAAAAAUGGUCAACUGCAUCUCUAAACUGAUAUUAUUGUUCAGUUUUAGCUUCUAAAUACACUCCUAAAUUAAACCAAGAGGCGAGCAUGUCAUCUGUAUACAAAGCAACACCACAGAAGCCUAAUCUGUCAAGAGCAAGAGUCAAAUAUAUUUGUCAGAUAUAUAGUUCAUAUUGUGCAGUUAGCAAACAAAAAUAAAUGUUCCUAAAGGUAUGUAUAUCAGCUAUCCGUUCAUUUCUCCACUUUUCCCUGUUUCUAGUUUGAAACAUGGCACAACACAAUGAUGAAUCUCAUGUUUCAGUUUACACUGAGAUCUGAACCCAGUGUGUAUGCAUGAAUGUUUUGUAGGACAGUAGUGCACACAACAUAGAAAGGGACGCGGAAAGAGAAGGGUCGGGGCUAGUGGCGGCUCACCUCAGUUCGAUGGUGUGCUGAUCUCUUGCGCUGCGCUAGAGGGGGCGAGGCUGCGCUGGCACCACGGUCCUCUCCAUGGCCGAAUCUCGUUGAGGAGCAGCUCCACCGACACCGCCGGGGACGCAGCCGACCUCUUCCUUCCCGGCAGCCCCACUGCACCACGACGGCCGGCUUCUUCCUGUCCUCGUCGCCCGCUUUCCCUACUCCUUCACCCAACCAUCAGCCUCACCUAACCUACGCCUGAUCUGGAUCUAGGCACAUCCCAUGGACACCACACAACGAGGGGGAGGAAGGAGAGGUGGAGGGGCUAGCGUUGUGGAGAAGUAGUGAAGAGAAGGACGAGCGGCGCUUGAUCCGAGAAACGCCACCGUGGCCGCAAGAAACCAAAUGGAACGGGAGAGCGGCUAGCAAGAGUCCCACCCUCUGGACCGUGUGCCUCCCCUCGCCGCACCGCUUGCUGCCGCCCAACUCUCCCACCGGCCACGACGAAGUCCCACCGCCGGGCAAGUGCCGGUGCUGGGUCGCCU